GACGAACGCUGGCGGCAUGCUUAACACAUGCAAGUCGAACGGAAAGGCCCUGCUUUUGUGGGGUGCUCGAGUGGCGAACGGGUGAGUAACAUGUGAGUAACCUGCCCUUGACUUUGGGACAACUUCAGGAAACUGGGGCUACUACCGGAUAGGUGCUCCUGCUGCAUGGUGGGCGUUGGACAGUUUCGGCGGUUGGGGAUGGACUCGCGGCUUAUCAGCUUGUUGGUGGGGUAGUGGCUUACCAAGGCUUUGACGGGUAGCCGGCCAGAGAGGGGGACCGGCGACAAUGGGACUGAGGUACGGACCAGACGCGUACGGGAGGCAGCAGUGGGGAAUAUUGCACAAUGGGCGGAAGCCUGAUGCAGCAACGCCGCGAGCGGGAUGCCGGCCUUCUGGUUGUAAACCGCUUUAGCCUGAGACGAAGCGGGAGUGACGGUAAUGGGUAAAGAAGCACCGGCUAACUACGUG
Molecule: ribosomal RNA, 468 nt
Filed under: uncultured bacterium
Lineage: Bacteria
Description: partial 16S ribosomal RNA
Rfam family: Bacterial small subunit ribosomal RNA
Source: RNAcentral